AAAUUGAAGAGUUUGAUCAUGGCUCAGAUUGAACGCUGGCGGCAGGCCUAACACAUGCAAGUCGAACGGUAACAGGAAACAGCUUGCUGUUUCGCUGACGAGUGGCGGACGGGUGAGUAAUGUCUGGGAAACUGCCCGAUGGAGGGGGAUAACUACU
RNAcentral lists this ribosomal RNA (157 nucleotides) under Escherichia coli. RNAcentral's name for it is "partial 16S ribosomal RNA". It matches the Rfam family "Bacterial small subunit ribosomal RNA", at positions 1 to 151 of the family's 1533-position model. Lineage: Bacteria; Pseudomonadati; Pseudomonadota; Gammaproteobacteria; Enterobacterales; Enterobacteriaceae. The record is from RNAcentral.